AAUAAAUACAUAGAAAAAUUAUAUAAUCACUAUGCUGAUUUAUUUGAUUUAGCCGUACCUACAAAUAUCACUCCAACUGUCGCUCCUCAUCCUCUCGAGGAGCCAUCAUCUUCUAAAAGGCCGGCACAUAAUGAUUUUCCUGAUUCCUUUUAUGAUUUACCUUGUUGAAACAGUGUUGAUGAGAGAGCUUACACAUCAAGUUAUCUGGAAGAGCUAAAAUAUUAUCUUCGGUCGCCGCCAGAAGAUCGCAGACGAUGGAUCAACACGUUGGAUUGGUGGAGGAGUAGUGAAACACAAUAUCCUAUGCUUUCAAGAUUAGCUAGAGAUAUCUUGAACGUUCCAAUGUCAACCGUUGCAUCAGAGAGCGUCUUCAGUCAGGGACGACAGCAGCUUGGAGACAACCAACACUCAUUAGGAAGCAAUGCAAUGAAUGUUCUAGUUUUCCUCAGAGAUUAGAUUAAAGCGGAAAGAAGAAAUCAAGGAAUAAAAUUGGAGCCGAACGACGAGCUGAAACUUGAAGAAAUUAUGUCUUCACGGGAGAACUCAACAGAAUCAAGUCCAAUGCAUGAUUUUGCCCCCGUUGACUUUGACUAUCCUAUGCAAGUUCCCGUUAAUAUUAACAUGAAUGAGUUGGAAAAAAUAAUGCAUAAUUUGUAGAUUUUUCAUUCAUGUAAAUUAUAAAUUUUGGAUUAUUUCGCAAUCAAUAAAAUUCAGCAUUCAUUCAUUCCUUAGUCCUUACUUUGUAAUUUUUUUCAUUUACUAAUUUAAAUUGAAUUUCUAGUUUAAAUUAAAAACUUACUUCUAAUAUAUUAUUAAUUUACUACCAAGUAUUAUUAAUUUAUUAUAUUAAGUAGCAUAUGUUUUGUAUAUUUGUGUAUAUAUCUUCUAUAAAUGUGAUGUACAAAUAUACAAAUACAAAAACAGUUAAAAAGAAAUCAAAUGAAUUUCUGUAAAUCAAUAAUAUAUACCACCCAGAAUUAUGAUAAUAACCAAAGAAAACCAAGAAGAUAUAAAAAGAAUUACAAUAUUAGAGAAAAACUAGAACAAAAUUUAGAUUAUCUAAAAAUUCAAGAAUCAGAAAUAAAUAAAAAGAUACAAUAUUUGAAUAAUAAUUUCAAUCUAGAAAAAAUAUCUACAAAAAUAGAAAUCGAAAAAUUAAUAAAGAAUAUAAUAGAAAAACCUAAAGAAAUAGAAAACAAAACUAUUCUAUCAAUAACUAAAAUAGAAGAAAAAUUACAAAUUAUACAAACUGAUAUAACUAAGUUAAAAAUAUUAACACAAAGACUAGAAGAAAUUUCUCUUUCAUGAAUAUAGAAGAUAUAAACUAUAAAAAAGCUUUAGAAACUUCAAAAAUAUUUCAUACCAAACCAGAAGGAUUUUCUUUACAUCUACCAAUAGACCAGUCAGAAAAAACAAUUGUAAAACAAAAUAAUACUAUAAUAGCAUUAUUAAUAGAUUUACAUGCUAAAAUAGAUACCAUAAUAAAAGGAAAAAAAAUUAGCAAAUCAGUCGAAGAACAAGAAUUAUCUGAACUACAUAAAAAGAUAGAUUUCUUAUUAAAAAAAUAAAGAAGAUAAAGAACCAGAUAAAAAUCCUGAGAACUUAUUUAAUGAAGAAACUAUAGGAGAGAGGGAGUACUGAGUAGGAUUUUACAACAUAUUUGCAUUAACCAAUCAAAAAUUGUCAUUCUAUGUUUAUUGUAUUUUAUUGAGACAUCUUUUUAUUUAAGUGUCUAUUUUAUUGGUAUCAGAGCAAGAAGGUUUUGAGAACAUUACCUAUUAACUCGCAAUUUUUUUUUAAUUUAUACUAGUGUAUGAAAAGACAUAAAUCUUUCCAAGAUAUAAGGUGUAGCUAUUUCUGUUUAUAUAGAGAAAUUAGAAAAAGAGAUAAUAUUGUAGCUAGAAAACAUAACUUAGAAAAAGUAGAAAAAGGUUACUAGAGGCAAAUAGAUUAUAUAAAUUAUAUAAUACAUCUAGACCAGUGUGUGAUAGAUUAGUAAGUGCGUUAAAUUGAAAAAUACAAGGUUGUAAUAGAGAUUUAGAAAAUAAUAGUACAGGAAUAAAGUGGCUUAAGGAACGUAUUAGUAAAAAAUCUUAUCAAUUAGGAUAAUAUAUACAAGCCUUACCUAUUUCCAAAGAUUAAGAAGAAUAAAUAAGUGGAUAGAAGAAGAAUUUGGUAUAAAAAUUGAAUUAAGAAAGAUAAAUAUAGCAUUAAAAUAAAAUAUAGAAAUAAUAAAAAAUAAGCCAGCUCAAGAAGAAUUAGACGAAUUAGAUUUAAUAUAUUAUAAAAGAUUAUUAGCAUAUUUUGAAGAAGACCUAGAAUCUACUAAAAUACGAUUAGAAAACUGUUCUUGGAGAAUAAAGUUUUACCAAAAACAAGCCAAUAAAAUUCCUUUAGGAUAAUAGAUGCCUAUAAGAUACAUCAGAUAUAUUAGAGAAAUUCAAAGUCAAUAUUAUAGAGAGUUUAUAUAUAAACAUCAAAUAAUAAAUAUUCUAAAACAGUCUAAAGAAAGGCUAGAAUUAUUAUCUAAAGAAAUAAAGAACCUAGAAAAAGAUAUUUUAAACUUUAAAGAAACAGAUGUAGAAACAAUGUAUAAGUAUCUAGAAACCUUUUUAGGAGAAUUAGCAAAAGCUACAUCGGAAGGAUUCAAAUCUAAUUUCCCAUAAGAUUUUCAAAUUUUAAUAGCAAUGGGACCAAACCCCUAUAAUUUUACAAAUAAAAUGCAUAAUUUAUUAACAGGAAAAGACCCAAAUAGUGGUCUAAUAACAUUACAAAAAGAUGCAUUGAUAAAAUUAGAACAAUUAAACAUCUCACACUGAAUGCAUAUAAAAAACUUUUUAAAAGAUUAUUUUUAUUAUUGUACAACUAGUGAUAAUACUUUUAAUGAAGAAUUAAAUUAGGAAAGAAAUUAUUUAAUAAAUUACCAGGAUCAUUAGGAAGAGAAAUAGAAGAAAGAUGGUAUAAAAGAGAUGGACUAAUUCAAUACCCAAAUGCUAGAUGGACUAUAGGACAAAGAAUACAACAUGUAAUAGAUAUAUUAACAGAGAAAUGUAUAAAUAUACAAAUACAAAAACAGUUAAAAAGAAAUGAAAUGAAUUUCUGUAAAUCAAUAAUAUAUACCACCCAGAAUUAUGAUAAUAACCAAAGAAAACCAAGAAGAUAGAAAAAGAAUUACAAUAAUUACAACAAAAAAUCAUACACUCGUAAAAGAUAUUUUCAAAGAAAAUCACAAACAAAGAAACCUUAUUUAAAUAGAGAUAGGCAUGUUAGAAAAUAUAGAAAUGAUAGAAAUUAUAGAAAUAAACUAGAAUGUUAUACAUGUGGAAGUCCAGAUCAUUUAGCAAAUAUAUGCCCUAAAAGAAACAAUAGCAGAACUAGAAACUCUCAGCUAAUAGAAGAUUUUCAAGAAACAUUAUUAAAUGUAGACAAAUAUAUGUCAAACACAGAAAGCAUAUAUUCUAUAGUAAGUUUCGAAUUAAAUGAAAAUAACAAAACAGACGCAUCAGACUUUGAAGAAGAUAACCUGAUAAAUGAAAUAGGACAACAAAUAGAUGAUUUAGACUUAAAUAGUUUAGUAAUAAAUAACUUAAUGAAUGUCGCAGAAGAAUGUACCCAUGAGUUCCAAAAAAAUAAAGGAAUAGAUAGUAAUAGAUGUCAAAUUUGUAAAUGGUAUCCUAGUAAGGAAUACAGAGCUAAAUGUAGCAAAUGUUACAUGGAAGCCUGUAUAAAUUGUAUAGAAACUACCUUAAAAAUAAAAAUAGAAUCAAACGUAAAUAAUGAACAAAGAUAUACAACUAAUCAAAUCACGAAUCUAAGAGUAACAACUAUAGAGGAUAGAUUAAAUGAGCUAGAACACAGAAUAAAUACAUUAGAAAAAGGAAAAGCUAAACAAUAUGAAGAUGAAAAUAGUAGACAAAGAACGGAACAUUUAGAACAAAUAGAAAUAGAGCUUAUGAACACAGAAAAUAAUAGUGGACUAAUAUGCAACGAAGAUAAAGACUUUUCUACGGUAAAAGUAUUAGUAAAAAUAAAAAUUAAAGAUAUAGAAAUAGAAACAUCAGCUUUAAUAGAUCCAGAAUAUACUAGUUGUAUAAUAAAUAAAGAGAUAAUACCAGAAAACAUAUUAAAAACAUAUAAAACACCAAUUGCAGCAAUGCAAAUGGAUGGAUCCAGAAAUAUUUAUCAUCACUAUAUAGAGAAAGUCCAAAUAAGUUUCUUAAAUAUGUGUAAUAAAUAUUACGAACCUACUUAUAAUAUUAAUCAAGUAUUAGUAAGAAAUAUAAAUAUUGGAACAGACUUUGUGAUAGGAUUAAAAUUUUGUAUACACAACAGGGGAGGUUGCCUUAUAACUAGAGAUGGUAUAAUGUUAUUCAAGAACCUCACACAUACUCCCGUAAUAACUUCAAAAUUACCUACAGUAUAUGUUUUAUUCAAAAUAGUACAUAUAUAUUGAAUGAUGCGUAUAUAUAUUUUCUAUAGAUGUGUAUAUUUAACGUAUACAUGUGUAUAUGUUUUAUAAAUUAGUGUAUAUAUAUAUAUAUAUAUACACACACACACAUUGUAAUGUAUAUAUAUUGUAGUAUAGUUUUAUUUAAACUUUAAAGUAGCACAUAUACAUUGAAUGGUGCGUAUAUAUGUGUAAUUUUGUAUAUGUGUAUAUAUUUUUUAAAUUCUAAUGUAGUAUAUACUAUAUAUAGUGUGUAUAUAUAUUGUUUAACGUAUUUAAAAAUGUAUAUAGGUGGGUAUAUAUAGUGUAUAUUGAAAAAAAAUUUUUUUUUUACCGGAUUUAAUCAAUUUUUAACUGGAUUUAGGUGGGUUUAACCGGGUUGAGUUAAAUGGACCGGAUUAAAGUUGUUUUUAAAAAUUUUACGGACCGAUCCAGCCCACUUAAUCCCAACUCAGCCUCGAUCCGGCCCACAAUUUGACCAAUUCUAACGGGCCAAUUCUGAGUUGAUCCGAUCCGACCCACUUGACACCCUUACCUCGCUUAUCAAAAAGAAGUCAGCGACAACAAUCCACUGGAUACUAGACUUUACCAAUUGGUGACCUUACUUUUUAAUGGUUGCAGCUAAGAAUGAAAUUUCUAGUACUUUAUAUACUUUUUCUGAAAAUUUAUUAAAUAUUUCACCUAUAUAUGGUCUUCCACAGUCAUUAAUAGGUUUGGGCUAUUAAAAUUUAAACGUUAUACAUAUCAAACUUAACUUUAUUAUUAGGGAUUUGAAAAUAGUAAAGUGAACGUAUAUCUUGUCAUUAUUUUAAAGAUGGAUAUCCAUUUUUAGCUAAUUUUUUUUGACUAAAAACAACAGUUGAAAAUAAUAUUAUAAAAAAUAAGAAAAAAAUAAGACCAUGACAAAAUACUAUAAAAUAUUACUCUUCAUCAUUUCAAUUUAUUUGACCUAUUUUCUUUAUCUCUCAAUAGGUUUUAACAUAUUUUUAAUUUACAACCAUAAAACUUAAAUUUUCAUUUUAAUUUUUAAAUGAUUCUCUUACAAAGAAUAUAUUCAGACCAUCAUCGGAAAAAAAAUCUCCACUAAAAAAAUGAGGCAGAUUAUUCCCUUCAUUACACUUGUGUUGGUGGUGGGUCCCACUAACACCAUUAGUCACUAUGCUUAGAGAAGUAAUCAAGAUUACUUUAUACAAACAAGCUCAAAAAAAUUGCCUUUUUACAACGCUCCAAACUUUCCAUGAACAGUUAUAAAAGAUUUAUUUUUUUUCAAGUAAAAAGGCAAAGCAAAGAUCAAGAAUGGUAGUACUAUUUUCAAGAAAAUCUUGAAGACAAUAUAGUAAGCAGAUCAAGAAAAUGGAACUUACUAUAAAGAAAACAAAAUGGAUGUUUCCUUUAGCUUUUGCUGUUUUAGUUUCCUUCUUCUUAAUCAUUUUCACUCUUUCAACUAAAACCCCAUUUCAAAAAUCAUCCAAUAAAGCUAAAGUUCCAAUCUUUGUUGAAUCAAUAUUACAUAU
Molecule: long non-coding RNA, 5961 nt
Filed under: Capsicum annuum
Lineage: Eukaryota; Viridiplantae; Streptophyta; Magnoliopsida; Solanales; Solanaceae
Description: long non-coding RNA (CANN_LNC013539)
Source: RNAcentral